This is a long non-coding RNA of Triticum dicoccoides, 248 nucleotides long. RefSeq lists it as uncharacterized. The transcript has 3 exons. The record is from RefSeq and is a predicted model, not a curated record. Lineage: Eukaryota; Viridiplantae; Streptophyta; Magnoliopsida; Poales; Poaceae.
CCGGAGGCUGCCUCCCUGGUUCCCCCUGAUCUGCGCGGUUGGACCUUCAUAGCGUUGUUCAACCACAUCCACAUGGUGGUAUGUGCGAGCGAUGACGCCGGUGGCCUGUGGCCAGAUAUGGAGGCUUAGCUAAUGCAGCAGCAUGGCAACUUAGAUGCGAGCACUAGCUGUUUGUAUAAAUGCACAAGGAGGAGUGCUCAGGGGAGGACGAUAGUUGUUUGUAUAAAUGCACAAGGAGGAGUGCUUAG